Molecule: ribosomal RNA, 772 nt
Filed under: uncultured Actinomyces sp.
Lineage: Bacteria; Bacillati; Actinomycetota; Actinomycetes; Actinomycetales; Actinomycetaceae
Description: bacterial SSU rRNA
Rfam family: Bacterial small subunit ribosomal RNA
Source: RNAcentral
GACGAACGCUGGCGGCGUGCUUAACACAUGCAAGUCGAACGGGCCUGCCUGGCUUUGGUUGGGUGGGUGAGUGGCGAACGGGUGAGUAACACGUGAGUAACCUGCCCUCUUCUCUUGGAUAACUGCUUGAAAGGGCGGCUAAUACGGGAUGUUCUGGCUGCCUCGCAUGGGGUGGUUUGGAAAGAUUCGGCCUGGUUUUGGUUGUUUUGGUGGGGGAUGGGCUCGCGGCUUAUCAGCUUGUUGGUGGGGUGAUGGCCUACCAAGGCGGUGACGGGUAGCCGGCCUGAGAGGGUGGACGGUCACACUGGGACUGAGACACGGCCCAGACUCCUGCGGGAGGCAGCAGUGGGGGAUUUUGCACAAUGGGCGCAAGCCUGAUGCAGCGACGCCGCGUGAGGGAUGGAGGCCUUCGGGUUGUGAACCUCUGUCGCCGGUGAUGUAGGCUCUGCUUUGUGGGUGGGGUUGACGGUAGCCGGGGUAUGAAGUGCCGGCUAACUACGUGCCAGCAGCCGCGGUAAUACGUAGGGCGCGAGCGUUGUCCGGAAUUAUUGGGCGUAAAGAGCUCGUAGGCGGCUGGUCGCGUCUGUCGUGAAAUCCUCUGGCUUAACUGGGGGCGUGCGGUGGGUACGGGCCGGCUUGAGUGCGGUAGGGGAGGCUGGAAUUCCUGGUGUAGCGGUGGAAUGCGCAGAUAUCAGGAGGAACACCGGUGGCGAAGGCGGGUCUCUGGGCCGUGUACUGACGCUGAGGAGCGAAAGCGUGGGGAGCGAACAGG